RNAcentral lists this unclassified non-coding RNA (247 nucleotides) under Verrucariales sp. Its description in RNAcentral is "partial contains 5.8S ribosomal RNA, internal transcribed spacer 2, and large subunit ribosomal RNA". Lineage: Eukaryota; Fungi; Ascomycota; Eurotiomycetes; Verrucariales. The record is from RNAcentral.
CGCACAUUGCGCCCUCUGGCAUUCCGGAGGGCAUGCCUGUUCGAGCGUCAUUCUCCACCCUCAAGCAUGGCUUGUCUUUGGGUCCUCACCGCCCUCGGGCGGUGGACCCGAAAGGUAAUGGCGGAUCUUGGGAAGAUCGGAUGCAGCGAGCUCUUUCAGCAUGCGUCCGUGUCGCCCCGGGUCCGUUCUCGACGAGAAAUUUCUGACAGUUGACCUCGAAUCAGGUAGGGAUACCCGCUGAACUUAA